This 338-nucleotide unclassified non-coding RNA is filed under the name soil metagenome. RNAcentral describes it as "partial contains 5.8S ribosomal RNA, internal transcribed spacer 2, and large subunit ribosomal RNA". The stretch from base 1 to 120 matches the Rfam family "5.8S ribosomal RNA", at positions 35 to 154 of the family's 154-position model. The record is from RNAcentral.
GAUGAAGAACGUAGCGAAAUGCGAUAAGUAGUGUGAAUUGCAGAAUUCAGUGAAUCAUCGAAUCUUUGAACGCACAUUGCGCCCUUUGGUAUUCCUUAGGGCAUGCCUGUUCGAGCGUCAUUUGAAACCUCAAGCUCAGCUUGGUGUUGGGUGUCUGUCCCCGCCUCACCGCGGGGACUCGCCUCAAAAUCAUUGGCGGCCGGUACGUUGGCUUCGAGCGCAGCAGAAACGCGAACUCGAGGCCCGGCGGAUCGGCGACCAGAAGUCACUUCUUCACAGUUUGACCUCGGAUCAGGUAGGGAUACCCGCUGAACUUAAGCAUAUCAAUAAGUGGAGGA